This 2316-nucleotide long non-coding RNA is filed under the name Sus scrofa (pig). Its description in RNAcentral is "lncRNA (ENSSSCG00030024150.1)". Lineage: Eukaryota; Metazoa; Chordata; Mammalia; Artiodactyla; Suidae. The record is from RNAcentral.
AAAAAACACGCAUCAUAAACUGUGUCAUCAUGACCACUUUUUACGUGUACAGUUCAGCAGUGUUAAGUAUCUUCAUAACCUGCUCAUUUCGCAGAACUGAAACUCUAUAACCGUUAAACAACAACUGUUUUCACCUCUUCCCCCUGGUCUUUAGCAACCCACACUCUACUUUCCUUGUCUGAAUUUGACUACUUUAGGAACCUCAUAUAAGUGGAGUCAUACAGUAUUUGUCCUUUUGAGAUGGCUUGUUUUACUUAGCAUAAUGUUCAUCCAUGCUGUAGGAUGUGACAGGGUUUCCUUUCUAAGACUGCAUGGUAUUUUGUUGUACGUAUGCGGCAUUUCCCCCCCCACCCCUGCAUUUUGUUGAUCUAUUCAUUUAUGAAUGUAUAUUUGGGUCACUUCUACCUCUUGGCUAUGGUAAAUAAUGCUGCCAUGAACAUGGGUGUGCAAAUAACUUGAGACAUUGCUUUCAGUUAUUUUGGAUAUAUACCCAUAAGUGCACAAUCACUUCUAUAAAAAUCUCUGUGGACUCUACACAAUAGCAGUUUUGCUUCUUGUAUCUACAUUCUUCUAGAUCCUUAGUAAAAUCUUCCACCUUCCCUCUAAAGAGCUCAACUUGGGAGCACCUGGACCAGGUGAACUCCCAGGUGUGUCCAGCUCUAAAUCUAGUGAUCUACAGGAAUGUCCUGAGUAUGAUACUGUCCUCAUAACUAGUUCACAUUAAUGAGUAUAUCUCUGCCCCAGAAGAUGUGCACAACCAGGUCAAAGUAAAUAUCCUCCCAGAGAGCUGAGGCUCAACAGAAUAUGCCAAGGACGAGGAAUUUUCUUCUCAACACUGACCUUACUGGUUCACCUUUUUCACCAGCCACAAAACAGGAAGUGAUCAAGCUAAUAAGGUGGAUUCCCAUCCAUGAGGAUGGGGGUUUGGUCCUGGCCUCGCUUGGUGGGGUAAGGAUCCAGUGUUGCUGUGAGUUGUGGUGUAGGUCUCUGAUGCCGCUCAGAUCUGGUGUGGCUGUGGCUGUGGCUGUGGCCGGCAGCUGCAGCUCCCAUUUGACUCUUACCCUGGGAACUUCCACAUGCCUCGGGUGUGGUCAUAAAAAGCAAAACAAACAAACAAACAAAAACAAAACAAACAAACAAAAACUUAACAAGCUCAUUAACUAUAGUGCUAUGCAUUCUCACACAGAUGAAGUCAACAGAGUUUAUUUCAAUAGACGGUUUAAAAAUUUCAGGCAGAGUAACUGUAACAUAAUAAACUCAAUAAAGGGCUCUUGUUUCUAUAUAGGUAUUCUCCUAUGGAACAUUCUUCUGUGUAAUUAUUAUUACGUAUUGCCUUGUAUAAAAUCCAACUGCUGGAGAGGUGAUUUAAAUUCAGUCCCUAUGUUUACGUAAUAAGAAAACACUCCUGAUAAACAGUGCAACCCUUUGAGGAACAUCAUGAAAAGAAAAGAGUUAUCUGUUCCAAGAGUCUGACUCCAGUGCAGAUGUACAGGGCUGUGUCUGGAGAGGAAAAUUAAUAGCUCCAUUUCCUUUCUUCCCUCUUUCUAUCUGAUAAGAGAUGCUCUCCUGGGAUGGAGAGGGCAGUCUUGGAAGGAGGCUGGAGGCCUGUGGAGGGAGAGGGACCAGGACUGACACGCUCAGAAACUCAUCAACCACACCUGGUUUCUGCAUCCGUUAUGGAACCAGAUGUGCAAAUACUGCCUCCGAGCGGAUUGCCAACAGCACCAGGCACUGGAGGGAAGCUGAGCCUUCCACAUGUUCCUUCUCAUUGUCAUGCUGGCAGAGUCCAGCCAGGCUCCUGUGACACACGGACGCCCAUAUACAUCCCUGAUUCUCACCUUGCCAGACCUGGGAGCCAUCGAUACGAAUGGGGAGCUCAGACUUCGAGCCCCUGACAAGGCCGUGACCCCAGACUCCCAGGACCCCAAGGAGCCUGCAUCGCACCCUCCCACCCAAGCUGCUCUGCGUUCACUGGGCAAUUCUGGGAAAAACUCAAAAUGUGCAGAAUUGCACUCCUAUUGAUCAUCCUAAAAUACAUGUAGCUAUGGGUUUUGGAAGACAUGCUCAAUCUGUGCUACAUGCAACAAGCGUAUCUCUGCCCCAGAGGACAUACCCAACCAGAUCCAAGGAAAUAUCUUCCCCGGGAUAUGGAGCCACCACCAAAACCUGUUGGGGAAGGCUACAGCGCCACGGGGAAUAUGGGAUGAACAUGCGAAUCUACUCUGUUUACAUUUAUCUCUUAUCUACAAAACCCACAACAGAACGGACCAGGCUUUACCAUUUACUACGUGGACUGUUUUGCCUGUGUGCAGGCAG